GCCUACGGCCGACCCAGCCCGAAAGCGCCCGAUCCCGUCAGAUCUCGGAAGCUAAGCAGGUUGAGGCUCGGUUAGUACUGGGAUGGGAGACCGUCCCGGGAAUACCGGGUGCUGUAGGCA
Molecule: ribosomal RNA, 120 nt
Organism: Dromaius novaehollandiae (emu)
Lineage: Eukaryota; Metazoa; Chordata; Aves; Casuariiformes; Dromaiidae
Source: Ensembl